This 1198-nucleotide long non-coding RNA is filed under the name Gossypium raimondii (Peruvian cotton). RNAcentral describes it as "long non-coding RNA (GRAI_LNC002727)". Lineage: Eukaryota; Viridiplantae; Streptophyta; Magnoliopsida; Malvales; Malvaceae. The record is from RNAcentral.
UUACUGUUCUCAGAAGUUAGGAAAAGGAAAGUCAAUAGUUCUUAUGUUGGGUAAAAAAGAUUCCACCAGUUUUGUUGAGAAUUCAGCUCUCGUCUCUUUUGAUACUACUUACCAGCCAACAGAGGAUGAAAGGAAAAUCUUGGGUCUGGUGUGACAAUUGUAACAUACAUCGUCAUACUUGUGAACCUCUUUGAAAAUUCGUGGAAAACCCACAAACUUCAACCUUUGCUAAUGAGGUCAAGACAAUCCCAGUUAGUAAGGAACAGGUGGAUCAUUUUCUUGAAUUGCUAAAGUCCAACUCUGUAUCUAGUGAUCCUGGUAGUUCCCUAGCUCAAAGAGGUAGAAUUUUCAACGCUUUUCCUAGCUGUCUAUCUUCUACACCAGGGAGUAUUGGUUCUGGUGCAUCUGAUCAUUUGACUGGUCUUUCGCAUCUAUUUACACAUGUUGAUUGAUUGAUUCUAAUUGACAGUGUACGACAGAUUCUUAGAAAUUAUGUAAUUACUGAUUUUUAGGAAUCACAGUAUUAUUAGUUUCCUUUUCUUAGUUUAUGUGUAUAAAUUCUUUGUAUUUUUUCACAAUUGAUAUAUGAGAAAAUAAGAAAUUCUUCUCCCAUUCUUUUGUUGCUCAUUUUCUUUGAUUUAACAUGGUGUCAAGCUAAAAUUCUAGAUUUGAGAGGAAUUUUUUCUCAAUUUUUUUCGAAAUCCCACAAAUCUAGAAAUUUCUUUUGGUACUCACUCCCUUAACCCCAUUUUUUUUCUCACCACCCACACCAGAAGGAUCGCUACCUCUUCGUUGGCGUAACCUCCAACUUCGGUGAUUCAUGCGCCCUCAACAGUUUCGGGAGUUUUCCUCAUAAGCCUGCGCGUGAUGCACACCCCAUUGGAGUUUUUUCCUUGCUAUUCUUAAUUGGGAGGCGCAAUAAGGCUUCUAGUUCGGAGAAUCUUUCUUCAGAUUAGUCUCAUAAAGGUUGAUGCUAAUAAUUAUCUUGCAUGGUCAAGCUCGUGUUUGGCUUUCAUCAAAGCUAGAAGCUUGCAGGGAUAUGUUAUUAGAACGGCUAAAAAACCCACAGAAAGUGAUUUCGCCUUUGACUAGUGGGACUCGGAGAAUUCACUUGUUUGGUCUUGGUUUAUUAAUGCCAUGGAGCCACAUAUUUCAAAAGAUCUACCGACUACUUGACACUGCAACAAAGAUAUGGGAG